AUGUCCUUCGAUGAUUGGCCAAACUUCCAAAGUCUGGCUCAAUGGUGGUCCGCUGUGAUCCACAUCAACACCCAACGAAGGAAGGUUGUUGCAUCCUUGGUGAUUCUCACGUCUUGAGAUAUCUGAAACGAGAGAAAUGUUCGGGUCUUUCGAAACAUCUACACCUUGCCAACGACGAUACUCGCCAUCGUCAAGCACGAGGCGUCACUUUGGGGCAUUGCCGCGGCCAAACACUUGAGGUUAAUCAUGCUGCGGGGGUAA
RNAcentral lists this ribosomal RNA (261 nucleotides) under Triticum aestivum (bread wheat). RNAcentral describes it as "partial small subunit ribosomal RNA". Lineage: Eukaryota; Viridiplantae; Streptophyta; Magnoliopsida; Poales; Poaceae. The record is from RNAcentral.